This 301-nucleotide ribosomal RNA is filed under the name uncultured bacterium. RNAcentral's name for it is "partial 16S ribosomal RNA". It matches the Rfam family "Bacterial small subunit ribosomal RNA", at positions 509 to 807 of the family's 1533-position model. The record is from RNAcentral.
CAGCAGCCGCGGGAAUACGUAGGUGGCAAGCGUUGUCCGGAUUUAUUGGGCGUAAAGCGAGCGCAGGCGGUCAAUUAAGUCUGAUGUGAAAGCCCCCGGCUCAACCGGGGAGGGUCAUUGGAAACUGGUUGACUUGAGUGCAGAAGAGGAGAGUGGAAUUCCAUGUGUAGCGGUGAAAUGCGUAGAUAUAUGGAGGAACACCAGUGGCGAAGGCGACUCUCUGGUCUGUAACUGACGCUGAGGCUCGAAAGCGUGGGGAGCAAACAGGAUUAGAUACCCCCGUAGUCCCUGUCUCUUAUAC